AACUAGCUGCCAUUUUUUGAGUAUUUCCUAUCUGCGUACCAUACCCUUCUUCUAUUUCUUUCCCCAUUAAUAAAUUGAGGCAGGGAGGUUGAGCGACAUCUCUAAAUGUUGCCCAGCAGCAAAGGGGUCAAGAAGGCAUUUGAACCCAGGUCUCCUUGACCCCAAAGCCCAUACCUACUGUCUUGUGUGCUUUUCCUUACCCUAGCUUCUCUUAGCCCCAACUCCAAAAUAGCUCCUAAGCCUGCCCACUUCUCCCCAUAUCUUCAGCUCACAGCCCCCAUUAUCACUCACCAGGACCAGUGCAGCCCACCCCUGGUCCCUAGCCCCUGCCAUCAUGCUCCUUGCCUCCACUGUUCCCACAGGUGCAGGAGGGCACCUGUGGACACUUGAGUUCAUGCUGCUUCUUUGAUCAAGAACCCUCCAUGGUUCCCACCUUACUCAGUGCAAGCCGAAGUCCUCACUACAGCCCACAAGGCCCUGCCCAAUCUGUGUCAUCACUUCCCUCUUGCUGACCCAUUCAGCCACCCUGGCCCCAGGGCUUGUGCCUGAAAUGCUCUCCACCUGGCUCUUUGCAAGGUGGAACUGACCUGAUUGACUAUAUGUGGAAUGUGAAAGAGGAGCCAAAGAAACAGGAGGAAGCAGGGCUGCAGGGGAGCAAGCUCAGGCAGAAUCCUGCAGAGGGCAUCUAAUCCUGCAGGGAGCUCUGGAGGGAAAGAAGAAGGAAGGUCAUCAGCUGAGAGUGGAGCGUGAGGAGAUGUUGGAAGCUGUGAGAAGAAAGGAGAGCAUCACGGGCUACAAAAAAUUACCUGAGGGCCGCAUGCAGCCCGUGGGCCACCAGUUUGACAACCCUGCUCUACAAGAACGUCAGUGCCAACGAUGGCUCACGAAAUUCCAUGCUGAUGAUUUUGAUCUCAACGA
Molecule: long non-coding RNA, 918 nt
Organism: Hipposideros armiger (great roundleaf bat)
Lineage: Eukaryota; Metazoa; Chordata; Mammalia; Chiroptera; Hipposideridae
Exons: 4
Source: RefSeq, a predicted model, not a curated record